This 492-nucleotide ribosomal RNA is filed under the name uncultured bacterium. RNAcentral's name for it is "partial 16S ribosomal RNA". It matches the Rfam family "Bacterial small subunit ribosomal RNA", at positions 29 to 507 of the family's 1533-position model. The record is from RNAcentral.
AGUGAACGCUGGCGGUAGGCCUAACACAUGCAAGUCGAACGUCAGCACAGUAAUAUCUUGCUCUUACGGGUGGCGAGUGCCGGACGGUUGAGUAAUACAUCGUAAUCUACUUUUUCGUGGGGGAUUACGUAGUGAAACUUACGCUAAUACCGCAUACGACCUACCGAUUAAUGCAUGGGAUCUUCUGACCUUUCGCGACUUAAUGAGCCGAUGUCGGAUUCGCUGGUUGGCGGGGUAAAGGCCCACUAAGGCGACGAUCCGUAGCUGGUCUGAGAGGAUGAUCAGCCACACUGGAACUGAGACACGCUCCAGACUCUUACGGGAGGCAGCAGUGGGGAAUAUUGGACAAUGGGCGCAAGCCUGAUACAGCCACACCGCGUGGGUGAAGAAGGCCUUCGGGUUGUAAAGACGUUUUGUUGGGAAAGAAAAGCAGCAGGUUAAUACCCCGCUGUUCUGACGUUACCCAAAGAAUAAGCACCGGCUAACUUCGUG